GGGGUCAUAGCUCAGGGGUAAGAGCGCAUGCUUAGCAGGCACAAAGUUCUGGGUUCAAUCCCCAGUACCUCCG
Molecule: transfer RNA, 73 nt
Filed under: Camelus bactrianus (Bactrian camel)
Lineage: Eukaryota; Metazoa; Chordata; Mammalia; Artiodactyla; Camelidae
Also listed under: 2 other names
Rfam family: tRNA
About the family: Transfer RNA (tRNA) molecules are approximately 80 nucleotides in length.
Source: Rfam by way of RNAcentral